This 72-nucleotide transfer RNA is filed under the name Marmota monax (woodchuck). Its description in RNAcentral is "tRNA.Ala". The record is from RNAcentral. Lineage: Eukaryota; Metazoa; Chordata; Mammalia; Rodentia; Sciuridae.
CUGGGUGUAGCUCAGUGGUAAAGCAUGUGUUUAGCAUGCUCAGGGCCCUGGAUUCAAUCAUUAGCACCAAAA